ACCUCAAACUAUUUUGUGUGAAGUAGAUGAGGCUGUAUCAAGUGUGUAUCAACUCUUGCUUUUCAUAGCGUGAGCUGUGCUGGGCCUAGCAGGACUAUGGAAGAUGAGCAGGGGAGUCGGAAGAUGGCACAAGCUCCUCACUUCAUACCACUUGAGUCUAGUCCCCAUUUGGCCACACCUUUGGGUACUCGGAAGCACUUGACUGGCAUUCGGAUUCGGCCAAACUUCCUCUCAUGAAUUCCAGGUCUGGUGAUUCUAGUGGCUCCGGUUUGGUAAGAUGGUUCUGUGAUUAUUACAUGAAAUGCACAUGACACGUACAUUAGUAUAGUUUGUUUUGUUUUGGCAUUUGCACACCUCACGGCUUUGAAUAAAGUACGUUUACACACAUC
Long non-coding RNA from Dermacentor silvarum, 389 nucleotides. RefSeq lists it as uncharacterized. NCBI's taxonomy places the organism in Eukaryota, Metazoa, Arthropoda, Arachnida, Ixodida, Ixodidae. The record is from RefSeq and is a predicted model, not a curated record. The transcript is spliced from 2 exons.